AGCACCAUAGCUCAGUGGUUAGAGCACUGGUUUUGUAAAACUAGGGUUCGUGAGUUCAAUCCUCUCACUGGUAUUU
This is a non-coding RNA of Araneus ventricosus, 76 nucleotides long. The record is from the annotation of a GenBank genome assembly. Lineage: Eukaryota; Metazoa; Arthropoda; Arachnida; Araneae; Araneidae.